CCUACGGGAGGCAGCAGUGGGGAAUAUUGCGCAAUGGGGGCAACCCUGAUCCAGCAACGCCGCGUGAGGGAAGAAGGCUUUCGGGUUGUAAACUUCUUUUAAGGGGGAAGAGGGGAAGACGGUACCCCUUGAAUAAGCCACGGCUAACUACGUGCCAGCAGCCGCGGUUAUACGUAGGUGGCAAGCGUUGUCCGGAUUUACUGGGUGUAAAGGGCGUGCAGCCGGGAGGACAAGUCAGAUGUGAAAUCCCGCGGCUCAACCGCGGAACUGCCUUUGAAACUGUGUUUCUUGAGUACCGGAGAGGUCAUCGGAAUUCCUUGUGUAGCGGUGAAAUGCGUAGAUAUAAGGAGGAACACCAGUGGCGAAGGCGGAUGACUGGACGGCAACUGACGGUGAGGCGCGAAGGCGUGGGGAGCAAACAGGAUUAGAUACCCCAGUAGUC
RNAcentral lists this ribosomal RNA (442 nucleotides) under uncultured bacterium. RNAcentral describes it as "partial 16S ribosomal RNA". It matches the Rfam family "Bacterial small subunit ribosomal RNA", at positions 338 to 795 of the family's 1533-position model. The record is from RNAcentral.